This 1398-nucleotide ribosomal RNA is filed under the name uncultured bacterium. Its description in RNAcentral is "bacterial SSU rRNA". It matches the Rfam family "Bacterial small subunit ribosomal RNA". The record is from RNAcentral.
AGAGUUUGAUCAUGGCUCAGAACGUACGCUGGCGGCACGCCUAACACAUGCAAGUCGAACGAAGUAGCAAUACUUAGUGGCAGACGGGUGAGUAACAUGUAGGUAUCUGCCCUUUGGCCUGGAAUAACACGAGGAAACUUGUGCUAAUACCGGAUAAGUCUUUACGGAGAAAGCUUUAUGCACCAUUGGAUGAGCCUGCACUUGAUUAGUUUGUUGGUGGGGUAAUGGCCUACCAAGACUGUGAUCAAUAGCUGAUUUGAGAGGAUGAUCAGCCACAUUGGGACUGAGACACGGCCCAAACUCCUACGGGAGGCAGCAGUGGGGAAUCUUGCACAAUGGAGGAAACUCUGAUGCAGCGAUGCCGCGUGAGUGAAGAAGGCCCUUGGGUUGUAAAGCUCUUUCGUCGGGGAAGAAAAUGACUGUACCCGAAUAAGAAGGUCCGGCUAACUUCGUGGCAGCAGCCGCGGUAAUACGAAGGGACCUAGCGUAGUUCGGAAUUACUGGGCUUAAAGAGUUCGUAGGUGGUUGAAAAAGUUAGUGGUGAAAUCCCAGAGCUUAACUCUGGAACUGCCAUUAAAACUUUUCAGCUAGAGUAUGAUAGAGGAAAGCAGAAUUUCUAGUGUAGAGGUGAAAUUCGUAGAUAUUAGAAAGAAUACCAAUUGCGAAGGCAGCUUUCUGGAUCAUUACUGACACUGAGGAACGAAAGCAUGGGUAGCGAAGAGGAUUAGAUACCCUCGUAGUCCAUGCCGUAAACGAUGUGUGUUAGACGUUGGAAAUUUAUUUUCAGUGUCGCAGGGAAACCGAUAAACACACCGCCUGGGGAGUACGACCGCAAGGUUAAAACUCAAAUGAAUUGACGGGGACCCGCACAAGUAGUGGAGCAUGUGGUUUAAUUCGAAGAUACGCGCAGAACCUUACCAACACUUGACAUGUUCGUCGCGACUUUAAGAGAUUAAAGUUUUCGGUUCGGCCGGACGAAACACAGGUGCUGCAUGGCUGUCGUCAGCUCGUGUCGUGAGAUGUUGGGUUAAGUCCCGCAACGAGCGCAACCCUCACUUUUAGUUGCCAUCAUUUAGUUGGGCACUCUGAAAGAACUGCCAGUGAUAAGCUGGAGGAAGGUGGGGAUGACGUCAAGUCCUCAUGGCCCUUACGUGUUGGGCUACACACGUGCUACAAUGGUAUCUACAACAGGAAGCAAAACUGCGAAGUUAAGCAAAUCCUUAAAAGAUACCUCAGUUCGGAUUGCACUCUGCAACUCGAGUGCAUGAAGCUGGAAUUACUAGUAAUCGUGGAUCAGCGUGCCACGGUGAAUGCGUUCCCGGGUCUUGUACACACCGCCCGUCACACCAUGGGAGUUGGUUCUACCUUAAGGCAAGGUUUCAAACCCUUGACCACGGU